This 479-nucleotide ribosomal RNA is filed under the name uncultured bacterium. Its description in RNAcentral is "partial 16S ribosomal RNA". It matches the Rfam family "Bacterial small subunit ribosomal RNA", at positions 28 to 507 of the family's 1533-position model. The record is from RNAcentral.
GAUGAACGCUAGCGGGAGGCCUAACACAUGCAAGCCGAGCGGUAUUGUUUCUUCGGAAAUGAGAGAGCGGCGUACGGGUGCGCAACACGUGUGCAACCUGCCUUUAUCUGGGGGAUAGCCUUUCGAAAGGAAGAUUAAUACUCCAUAAUAUAUUGAACGGCAUCGUUUAAUAUUGAAAGCUCCGGCGGAUAGAGAUGGGCACGCGCAAGAUUAGCUAGUUGGUGAGGUAACGGCUCACCAAGGCGAUGAUCUUUAGGGGGCCUGAGAGGGUGAUCCCCCACACUGGUACUGAGACACGGACCAGACUCCUACGGGAGGCAGCAGUGAGGAAUAUUGGUCAAUGGGUGCAAGCCUGAACCAGCCAUCCCGCGUGAAGGACGACUGCCCUAUGGGUUGUAAACUUCUUUUGUAUAGGGAUAAACCUACCCUCGAGAGGGUAGCUGAAGGUACUAUACGAAUAAGCACCGGCUAACUCCGUG